This 253-nucleotide ribosomal RNA is filed under the name uncultured bacterium. RNAcentral's name for it is "partial 16S ribosomal RNA". It matches the Rfam family "Bacterial small subunit ribosomal RNA", at positions 524 to 776 of the family's 1533-position model. The record is from RNAcentral.
UACAGAGGUCUCAAGCGUUGUUCGGAUUCAUUGGGCGUAAAGGGUGCGUAGGUGGCGUCGUAAGUCGGGUGUGAAAUUUCGGAGCUUAACUCCGAAACUGCAUUCGAUACUGCGGUGCUUGAGGACUGGAGAGGAGACUGGAAUUUACGGUGUAGCAGUGAAAUGCGUAGAGAUCGUAAGGAAGACCAGUGGCGAAGGCGGGUCUCUGGGCUGGUACUGACGCUCAGGAGCGAAAGCGUGGGUAGCGAACAGG